Trichoplusia ni (cabbage looper) is the source of this 780-nucleotide long non-coding RNA. RefSeq lists it as uncharacterized. The record is from RefSeq and is a predicted model, not a curated record. NCBI's taxonomy places the organism in Eukaryota, Metazoa, Arthropoda, Insecta, Lepidoptera, Noctuidae. The transcript has 3 exons.
UAGUUGUUAAUUGUUGUUUGGAAAUGUACAAAGCGAUGAUUCCGCAAGGAAUAAACGAACAAUUUGUCUCUACGUAAGGACACGUGACUCAAUACCGAAUAUGCAGUACGACCAUCCAAUAUUGUCAGUCACAAUCAGCUGAUAAUGACUGAAAAUGUUACACGUUAAUGCCGUGUGACACUUCUCCAUUAUCCAAUCUAAGAAAUGACGGGAUUGCGGUUUUUGGUCAGCCUUUACCAAAUUCCUACAUUACAGAAAGCGGAUUUCUCAUAAAUACUUGAUUAGAUAAAAUCAGAACAGUGGAAUGCUUUUUGAAUAGAAAAUAUAGAUGUGGAAAUUCAAAACUGUUGGCGUAACCGCUUGUACUUAUUCCACCAUUUCCAAUCAGACCAGUGCCAGUCAGAUGCCAAUCAGACAUGCCAGAAGCAGUAAAUGAAAUUGGGAAGAUAACGCAACAAGGUUGAGCUCCAUACAUCCCAAAUUUUCCUCGUUUUAACCGAUUCGAGGUAUUCCACUACAGAUAUGGCAUGGAAGAAAUUAACUUUGAAUUAAAAUGUGAAAUGAAUUUGGGUCAAUGGUGAAUGUAGGUAUAUGUAAAAAAUUCCGAGUGCUGAAAGUUAUUUUUGUUCGAAAUUAAGAAUCACAGUUGCAAAUUAGGUCAGGCUUUCAGGUUUGAUUACAUUUUAUAUUCGACGUACGUUGUUUUUUAAAACCGACAACCAUACUAAGAAUUAUUUUGUCGCGGGGGUUCACUAGAAUUCAAAUCAUAUGCACAAAGAC